Molecule: unclassified non-coding RNA, 213 nt
Filed under: plant metagenome
Description: partial contains small subunit ribosomal RNA, internal transcribed spacer 1, and 5.8S ribosomal RNA
Source: RNAcentral
UUUCCGUAGGUGAACCUGUGGAAGGAUCAUUCAUAAUAAGUGUUUUAGGGCUCUUUUUUAAAUCCAUAUCCACCUUGUGUUCCAUGGCAGUGGUGAUUUUUCUCUCUAGUGGAUCUGGUCCAAACAUCAACUAUAUCUUAACUCUUUGUCUGAAGAAUAUUAUGAAUAAAACAAUUCAAGAUACCACUUUCAACAACGGAUCUCUUGGCUCUC